RNAcentral lists this long non-coding RNA (261 nucleotides) under Carica papaya (papaya). Its description in RNAcentral is "long non-coding RNA (CPAP_LNC013483)". Lineage: Eukaryota; Viridiplantae; Streptophyta; Magnoliopsida; Brassicales; Caricaceae. The record is from RNAcentral.
GGACCUCAGUCAGAUCUUCCAGACAUUGAUGAAGAUUAUGGCGUAAAAUCUGAUGAUGAGACUGUAAGUGAUUUUUUGUGCUAGUCUGUUCAAUCUUGUUGAGUACUUGUGAGUCUGAUGUAAUCUAUCCACUCUUCGGACAAUAGAAUAUUUAUAUCACUGCCAUACCAUUUACUAGCUGCUUUAGACCCUGGAUAUUACUUGUGGGAGGUUAUACUAUACAUUUUGAUUAUCAUUGCCAUGGAAGAAUAUGUGUACUGA